RNAcentral lists this ribosomal RNA (110 nucleotides) under Pleurotus smithii. RNAcentral's name for it is "partial 28S ribosomal RNA". The record is from RNAcentral. Lineage: Eukaryota; Fungi; Basidiomycota; Agaricomycetes; Agaricales; Pleurotaceae.
UUUGGCCUCAAAUCAGGUAGGACUACCCGCUGAACUUAAGCAUAUCAAUAGGAGAAGCGUAGUUUCACCCCGCUUUAUCCCCUAACCUCAGGCCGGAUCCCAAAGGGAAU